AAAAAGCUAUCAUUUUUCUCUUCCCCUUCACCAAAAUAUGCAGCAAAGAAAGGGUUUUGAAGCUGGAAAUUUCAGCAACAUAUUUCCCUUGCUUAUGAUGAAAAUUGAGAUUUGGACCUAGAACGGAAAGAAAUCGAUUUAUGGACGAGUAUGUCUUUUCACCUUUGUGGUAUCGAGAGUUUCUAGGUUAGCUCGGGUUGGAGGCCGUCAGAGAUAUUAUCACCCUAUCGAGUUAACGUUAUCGGAGUAAGUAAACUCAAGUGAUUCGAGUCUAUGGCAUGUAUAGGGUUUUAAUGUGAGUAUGUAAUAUUAUGAUUUAGCCAAAGGCAUUGGCUUGUUAUUAAGGUAGUAUAUGUAAAUUGGCCUAUGUCGGCUAAUAUCGUUAUGGGCCCAUAUGAUUAUUCUUAUGCAUUUAUGUUAUUAUUUCUUGUGAUGUGGCUUACAAUAUGUAUGCCUAGAGAUUGAAUUGAGAUUCACUGAUGAGCUAGUAACUAAUGCAGAAUUAAGUGAUUAGUAAAUAGUUAAUAAUGCUUCAUGAAUGGUUUGUGAUGUAAUGAUAGUUAUGUCUAGUAUGUGGUAAUGAUAUGGGCAAAUUCUAUAAUAUUUAUUGCAUAAGAAAAUAACUUGAGCAUAA
Molecule: long non-coding RNA, 634 nt
Organism: Gossypium arboreum
Lineage: Eukaryota; Viridiplantae; Streptophyta; Magnoliopsida; Malvales; Malvaceae
Exons: 3
Source: RefSeq, a predicted model, not a curated record